GCCCCCGCCGUGGUCGGUGGAUCCAUCGUCCCCGACACGCGCUGUGGCUCCUCCGUCCCGCCGCGCCGUCACUCUGCGCCGACCACGAAUCACCCGACGAGUCCCCCGCACCAUUGCACAUCCAAGCCUGCCCGCCGGAGCUCGAUCCCAUCUUGGCCGCCGCUCCAUUCCCUGCUGCUUUUGAGUACUCCUGCCUCGCUUCCUCUCUAACCGUCCGCCGAUGCUCACCACCAUGCAUCCCGCCGCUGGCGUGUGUGCAGCGGAAACGUUCCAUGCGGACCACCUCCAGCAAUGAAUGGGCGAUUCCCCCAUCGAAGCAGAGGAGUAGGCCUCGUGCCUUUCCGUCGGCGUCCUCACUGGUUAGUCCUUUUUGGGGCGGUUUAGAGGCGACCGGCGAGAUGGCAUCGCAGUUGGAGCAAUAGUGGGUCCAUCUCUAGAGGACACCACCCCUCUGCUAGGUGACCAGGACCUCGUAUAGUUGGAUCCAGGGGCGCCAUGCGUGCUGCUCCAUUCAACAGGAGCCACGCCCAUUAGCUGUUUCACAGAUGACUUCAAUCGCAAUCGCGAGGUCACGGUGAGAUGUAGAGACAGUUCCUUGCUGUGAAUUGCACUUGCCAAAUACUCUGCUCACCAUUUGUUUGGCAAAAUGCCUCACUGGACCGUCAAGUUGGAUGCUGCUGCAACUUGUUUAUUUCGGUCCCAGGAGCAAAAUUUGUCUACUAUUGCAUCCCUGAAGGCCUGAACACGAUGUGUACCAAUUUGGGCCGGGAGGAAGUAUCUUGUGCUUAGGAGGAAGAAUGCUUGUUAUAUCUCACUAUCUAUUUGUCUUUAUGCCUCUUUAUCAAACUUUAUGCAAGAAGCAUAUCCAAUAAUGUUUAAGUAGCUGCAUAUUUUGUAUUUGAAAUGCUUUGUACUACUACCAAGAUGGAUCCUUCAAAUAACAUCAUUUAAUAGGAUUUCCAUCCUUCUUUCUUGCAGAUUCAUACAGGUACCAUGUCGCAAAUGGAUGACAAUGAGUCUGCUGAUUUAUAUCUUCAAGCACUACUCAGCUAUAUAGAUUCAUGACCAAUGAGAGUUGCUGGCACCGGCGUUUGCACGGCGACUGACACCGUCCUGAGCUGCACCAACCUGAGCGCCCUUUCCAUCUGCGGGCGAUCAACAUCGGUCCGUGGGCUGGGUUUAAUCUAGAACAGAUCAGUCAUCAAACAUCGAUCUACAUGUACGUGGUUAUGAUGUGGUCUUUAGUUAUCCUGUUCAGUGCAUGCUACCAUAUCAAUUUGCAGUAGACAUAAUUCAGUUUCAGGAUUCAGGGAUUCAUUUUUUGGCAGGAAUUGCAUUCAGUACUUUGUUCAUGUUUUUUGAAGAACCUACUUUGUUCAUGUCGUUACAUGUAACUUCAGUAGGAAGAUGCCUUCAUUGUUUUAAAAAAUACACUAUUUUCAUGUAUUAGUGCAUAGAUAUGCAUUUGUUUGAAAGAUAGAGUUUGAGUUGGCA
Long non-coding RNA from Panicum virgatum (switchgrass), 1494 nucleotides. RefSeq lists it as uncharacterized. The transcript has 2 exons. Lineage: Eukaryota; Viridiplantae; Streptophyta; Magnoliopsida; Poales; Poaceae. The record is from RefSeq and is a predicted model, not a curated record.